This 1093-nucleotide long non-coding RNA is filed under the name Numida meleagris (helmeted guineafowl). RNAcentral describes it as "lncRNA (ENSNMEG00000001219.1)". The record is from RNAcentral. Lineage: Eukaryota; Metazoa; Chordata; Aves; Galliformes; Numididae.
AGAGUCUGAGAUUUUCAUGGUUUUCACAAACAGUGCAAUUUUUUUCUGUUUUUUUAGGUGUUGGAUAUGUACCCUGCCUCAAAAGAUCUUUAGUGCUCUUCCAGCUACAGGGCAUAAGCCAUGCUGAAGAUAUCCUCCUUUUUGGCAUAAAGCCCUACUCAUGUUCUGAGGAGAGUUCUAGAGCAGUAUAUCCAUGCAGACCGCAGACCUCAUCCCUCCCCAGUUCUGGCCAACCAAAGAUCACUUCUAGAAUGACAUGAGAGGCUAGUAUCAGCAUGUGCGUGCAGGUGACUAUCUGGGAAGAAUUAUUGCAAGCAUCGUUAUAUUAUUUUGCUCAAAUGUAAUUAGCUAAGUUGCAUAAAUUUCAUCCCAAGGCCAUUAAAUGAACCACGAUGCUUCCACAAAUGUGUUAGACAUUUAGUGAGCUGCUCAAUGACACCUAGAAAAUUCUCAGGAUUUUUUUCUGUUAAUCUGUAAACAAAAUCAUUUAGUAUUGUCAGUCUGUAUUUAUCAAAAAGGGGGGAAAAAAACAGGAAAAAUAGCUCUCAUAUAUUGCCCUACUUAUGCAAAUGGUGCAUCUGGUACUUUUUGAAGUAUUGCCAGUGGUGAUUUCAAAACAGGCUUAAACACCUGCAGUCAACUGUUGGCAAGAUCAGUCAAGACCAUGUCCUGCCAUGGUUCAAUCUUUAUGGCAUUUUGGGAGAAAGCAAGCAAACACCCCACCUAUACAUACACAGGUAUAAAAAAUAUUAUCUGAAGAGAUAUAAUUAAGUGCAGUUUAUGACUUAUAAUGUGAUCAAAGUUGCUCUUGUGGAACAUUCAGAUCAACAAAAUCUUUUGUUUUCAAAAUUUUCCCUUGGCAAUCUCCAGGUAUAACAAAUAGUACAGGACACAAUGUUUUUCUUCUAGUUAUUUGUUGAGUACAAAAGAGGAAAAAAAUAGAGAAUUGUAUAGAUAAAGGCCCUGUAAGGUACUGUGUUUAAAAGGAAAUAGGCAAAAGAGAACAAACCAGCCAUAUUCCUACCCUGUCGCACCUCCCCAGAACAAAACAGAAAGAAACAAAAAUAAAUAACCAACCACAAGCCUUGUAGCA